GUAAGAGUCCCAGGAUAUUUGGAUGGUUGAUUUGAAUUCUUAUCUGCUUGAGGAGACAUUGCAUCAUAAAAAGGUUCAGCCUCAACCUUUCGUAGAGAAAAGAGGCUGUACAGGAAGCACAGCAGCUUCUGCUUCUGGGAGGCUUCAGGAAACUUACAAUUAUGAUGGAAGGUGAAGAGGAAGCAGGCAUGUCUUACAUGGCUGGAGCAGGAGCAACAGAGAGGAGGAGGGGAGGUGCUACACACUUUUAAAUGACAAGAUCUCGUGAGAACUCACUCGCUAUACAGCACCAACGGGUGCAGUGCUAAACCAUUCAUGAGAACUCUGCCUCCAGGAUCCAGUCACCUCCCAACAGGCCCUACCUCCAACAUUGAAGAUUACCAUUGGACAUGUGAUUUGUGUGAGGAAGCAGAUCCAAACUAUAUCAAUCCUCAAAACAACCUUAUGAGGAUGUACUUACAUCCCAACAAACUGAAAAUGCUGACCAACUGCAGCACAGCCAACUCGAAUUUGCUCUUUCGUCAAAGUGACCAGCACCUCAUUUCUUCGUCUUUAGAAUUUGUAGAACUUGUAUUCUUAGUCCAGCUGUUUAAUAAAUUGCAAUCACCUAAACACAUGCUCCUAAAUCAAAUCUCGGAUGUCAGAAAGAGCACUGAACCAUCACCGGUUUCUGUUUUUUGGAGAUGCCAAGUCAUAAUAUGCUUUUAA
Molecule: long non-coding RNA, 708 nt
Filed under: Callithrix jacchus (white-tufted-ear marmoset)
Lineage: Eukaryota; Metazoa; Chordata; Mammalia; Primates; Cebidae
Description: lncRNA (ENSCJAG00000075360.1)
Source: RNAcentral